Pelobates cultripes (western spadefoot toad) is the source of this 531-nucleotide non-coding RNA. The record is from the annotation of a GenBank genome assembly. NCBI's taxonomy places the organism in Eukaryota, Metazoa, Chordata, Amphibia, Anura, Pelobatidae.
AGGUAGUCGAACACCGUUUUACUUCACAAGUUCAGUUCUGAUUGGACGUCCUCUGGGAGUUUCUUUCACUACCGCAGUCGCGGGUCACACAGUACAUUUGGAAUGCUGGAAUCACUAAGGAUACAGCUAUUUUUGACCGCACUCUUGCCUGCAUAUAAAUUCACUCUCAGAGGAGACAACUCACCGAGUAGUUCAUGAGUGAACGAAAGACCCUACUCGGUUCUAUUGCGGAAUUGGUGGUAGACUUCACGCGUUACUUGAGAUGUGAGAUUGACCUGCAAGACCACAUCACCAGGUGCCCUGGCACGAUUGGAGGAGCCAUCUUCCACUUCAAGAGUCGAGACCUGUUAGCAGUUUUCCUUUUGCGGCCCUAAAGUUCGCAAAUGACCUUCGGCAUUUUACACCUACAGGAAAUUACUGAUAGAUCAGCUUGGCAGCUCAUGGACCGGCUACUAAGAAACAGUACACUGGAUCAACCAGUGGAGGGUGUUUUUUCCGUAUUUUUGGGGUGCCUUGUCAGUUGGCAUUCUC